AGCCCUAAGAACUAAUUUAGGGUGAUACCUGCCCAAUGAAUAAGUUAAAUGGCCGCGGUACUUUGACCGUGCUAAGGUAGCAUAAUCAAUUGACUUUUAAAUGAAGUCUGGAAUGAAAGGGAUAACGGAAUUUAGCUGUCUCACUCUUAAUACAAAGAACUUACUUAUUAGGUGAAAAAGCCUAAAGAAGAAAAAAGACGAGAAGACCCUAAGAGUUUUGUAUUUUGUUGGGGCGACAAAGGGUCAAAUAACACCCUGCUGUAUGUGUCGGAUUUAUCAUGUUUAGUUAAACUACCUUAGGGAUAACAGCAUAAUUCUUUUGAGUUUGUGACCUCGAUGUUGGACUAGGAAGCUUUUAGGCUAGCUGCCUAAACAGGUGAUUCUGUUCGAAUUUUUACUCCU
RNAcentral lists this ribosomal RNA (402 nucleotides) under Roxaniella multistriata. Its description in RNAcentral is "partial 16S large subunit ribosomal RNA". It matches the Rfam family "Archaeal large subunit ribosomal RNA", at positions 1920 to 2665 of the family's 2987-position model. The record is from RNAcentral. Lineage: Eukaryota; Metazoa; Mollusca; Gastropoda; Cephalaspidea; Haminoeidae.